This 236-nucleotide unclassified non-coding RNA is filed under the name plant metagenome. RNAcentral's name for it is "partial contains small subunit ribosomal RNA, internal transcribed spacer 1, and 5.8S ribosomal RNA". The record is from RNAcentral.
UUUCCGUAGGUGAACCUGCGGAAGGAUCAUUACUGAGUGGGGGCCCCUCGGGGUCCAACCUCCCACCCGUGUUUAACGAACCUUGUUGCUUCGGCGGGCCCGCCUCACGGCCGCCGGGGGGCAUCUGCCCCCGGGCCCGCCCCCGCCGAACCCACCUGUGAACGCUGUCUGAAGUAUGCAGUCUGAGACAAUUAUUAAAUUAAUUAAAACUUUCAACAACGGAUCUCUUGGUUCCG